ACCCACAGCUACUGGUCUGGAACUGUUCUGAAAUGUAACAGUUGCAGUAUUCCAUCUGUGGGAAAUAAACUGUUACUGUAUCAUGUCCUUUUUGGGUCAGCUGAAAAGGACUUUCUCUGUAACAGACAAGA
Molecule: small nucleolar RNA, 131 nt
Organism: Pelodiscus sinensis (Chinese soft-shelled turtle)
Lineage: Eukaryota; Metazoa; Chordata; Testudines; Trionychidae
Product: small nucleolar RNA SNORA41
Source: Ensembl